CCUGACGUAGACGCUAUUCCCUAAGAUUAACCCAUGCAUGUUUUUGAAGAUUAUUAUCUGAAAAAUGGACUGCUCAGUAAUACUCACUUUAUUUUAUGUGCACCGCAGAUAACUACGUUAAAGUGUAGAUAACAUGUGUACAGUAAGAGUGAGACCUAUCAGCUAGUUGUUAAGGUAAUGGCUUAACAAGGCAGUGACGGGUAACGGUAUUACUUUGUAAUAUUCCGGAGAAGGAGCCUGAGAGACGGCUACUAAGUCUAAGGAUUGCAGCAGGGGCGAAACUUGACCUAUGGAUUUUAUCUGAGGCAGUUAUGGGAAGUAAUAUAUUAUUGUUUCAUAUUUUAAAAAUAUAUGAGGUGAUUAAUUGGAGGGCAAAUCAAGUGCCAGCAGCCGCGGUAAUACUUGUUCCAAGAGUGUGUAUGAUGAUUGAUGCAGUUAAAAAGUCCGUAGUUUAUUUUU
Molecule: ribosomal RNA, 459 nt
Filed under: Vairimorpha bombi
Lineage: Eukaryota; Fungi; Microsporidia; Nosematidae
Description: SSU rRNA
Rfam family: Microsporidia small subunit ribosomal RNA
Source: RNAcentral